GACGGGGGAUGCAAGUGUUAUCCGGAAUCACUGGGCGUAAAGCGUCUGCAGGUGGUUUCCUAAGUCCACUGUUAAACCUUGAGGCUCAACCUCAAAUCUGCAUUGGAAACUAGGAGACUUGAGUAUAGUAGGGGUAGAGGGAAUUUCCAGUGGAGCGGUGAAAUGCGUAGAUAUUGGAAAGAACACCGAUGGCGAAGGCACUCUACUGGGCUAUUACUGACACUCAUAGACGAAAGCUAGGGGAGCAAAUGGG
Molecule: ribosomal RNA, 253 nt
Filed under: uncultured bacterium
Lineage: Bacteria
Description: partial 16S ribosomal RNA
Rfam family: Bacterial small subunit ribosomal RNA
Source: RNAcentral